GACGAACGCUGGCGGCGUGCUUAACACAUGCAAGUCGAACGAAGUGGCGAACGGGUGAGUAAUACGUGGGUAACCUGCCCUCCUUUUUGGGAUAAGCCUUGGAAACGGGGUCUAAUACCGAAUAACGGGGGAUGGGCUCGCGGCCUAUCAGCUUGUUGGGGGGGUGAUGGACUACCAAGGCGUUGACGGGUAGCCGGCCUGAGAUGGGGACCGGCAACAUUGGGACGUAGAGACGGCCCAGACUCCUACGGGAGGCAGCAGGGGGGAAUAGUGCACAAUGGGCGCAAGCCUGAUGCAGCCCUGCCGCGUGUGUGAAGAAGGCCUUCGGGUUGUAAAGCACUUUCAGCGGGGAGGCGUUACCCGCAGAAGAAGCACCGGCUAACUCCGUGCCAGCAGCCGCGGUAAUUC
RNAcentral lists this ribosomal RNA (408 nucleotides) under uncultured bacterium. RNAcentral describes it as "partial 16S ribosomal RNA". It matches the Rfam family "Bacterial small subunit ribosomal RNA", at positions 28 to 526 of the family's 1533-position model. The record is from RNAcentral.